UUCCUUUUAAUUUGGGAGACACUGGAUGCCAAGCAUUUUCAGUCUUCACUGAACUGUCUCUUUUUGAAAGACUGAACGCCAAGAAGCGUAAAUUUCAGAAAAAGUAUCAUUGUCCUAGAAAAUUGAGUCCUAUAAGAGAGGGGAGAAGUACAGGAGACUAGACAUUGGUGAAGCUCGCACUGAGGGGAAUGAGACAUUUCUAAGUGGAAUGAAAGGGAAAGAGAAUUGAAAAGGUCGCCA
This is a non-coding RNA of Pogona vitticeps (central bearded dragon), 240 nucleotides long. The record is from RefSeq and is a predicted model, not a curated record. NCBI's taxonomy places the organism in Eukaryota, Metazoa, Chordata, Lepidosauria, Squamata, Agamidae.